RNAcentral lists this ribosomal RNA (244 nucleotides) under uncultured Staphylococcus sp. RNAcentral describes it as "partial 16S ribosomal RNA". It matches the Rfam family "Bacterial small subunit ribosomal RNA", at positions 96 to 334 of the family's 1533-position model. Lineage: Bacteria; Bacillati; Bacillota; Bacilli; Caryophanales; Staphylococcaceae. The record is from RNAcentral.
CGGCGGACGGGUUAGUAACACGUGGAUAACCUACCUAUAAUACUGGGAUAACUUCGGGAAACCGGAGCUAAUACCGGAUAAUAUAUUGAACCGCAUGGUUCAAUAGUGAAAGACGGUUUUGCUGUCACUUAUAGAUGGAUCCGCGCCGCAUUAGCUAGUUGGUAAGGUAACGGCUUACCAAGGCAACGAUGCGUAGCCGACCUGAGAGGGUGAUCGGCCACACUGGAACUGAGACACGGUCCAG